RNAcentral lists this ribosomal RNA (289 nucleotides) under uncultured prokaryote. Its description in RNAcentral is "partial 16S ribosomal RNA". It matches the Rfam family "Bacterial small subunit ribosomal RNA", at positions 524 to 815 of the family's 1533-position model. The record is from RNAcentral.
UACGUAGGGAGCAAGCGUUGUCCGGAAUUACUGGGCGUAAAGGGCGCGUAGGCGGGGUUAUAAGUUAGGUGUGAAAACGUAGGGCUUAACUUUACGAUUGCACUUAAAACUGUAAUUCUUGAGUACAGGAGAGGAAAGUGGAAUUCCUAGUGUAGCGGUGAAAUGCGUAGAUAUUAGGAGGAACACCAGUGGCGAAGGCGACUUUCUGGACUGUAACUGACGCUGAGGCGCGAAAGCGUGGGGAGUGAACGGGAUUAGAUACCCCCGUAGUCCCUGAGCGGGCUGGCAA